AGAAAAGGGUCUGCCGGUCUGUCUGCUGCUAUGGAGUCGGGAGAAGAGGAGGAGAAGGAGGAGGAGGAGCGGGUUCCUCCUAUUGCAACAACUCCACCACAUCGUGGCUGGAGCGAAGAAUCAUUAAGCCGCAGCAGUAGCGAAACCCAGGCAUCAGUUACCAGUGGGAUCUCCCUAGGAGAAGCAAUACGUCAGAAAACUGCCACUAAUCGGGAAAUCGAGUCAUGGUAUCAACUUCCAGCAGAAGUGGAUGCCAGCCAUUUAACUGCUGCCUCGGAGACAAAGCUUGGCCUGACUUGCAAUAGAAAUGACCUGACGGAGUUCCCUACGCUGGAGGAAGGACUGUUGCCUUCAGCAGAAGGAUCUAGAAGGCAGUCUCCUGGACAUACAGCACAUGGCUUACUGCUGGAUAUUCAGGACAGUCAAUUCUCUCCUUGUCUUCCACUGCUAAUGUAUUCAACACAAGGCCAAAGAUUUUCAGAUGAGACGCUUCUCCAGCAAUCAGAAAUGAAUUUUAUUCCCUUAAGAGGAGUUCCUGAUGUUUCUGGUGCGUCUGAGGAGCAUUCAAAGCCUUCGCACAUCCCUGAAGCUUGGUUAUUGACAGACACAGACUCUGCACCCAGUGACUGCUUUGUUUUGUCCCAGCAUCCUCUUCCAUUCAGACAUGUGGAACCUUGUGAUGCCAGUUGUUUGUCUCAGCAAACCUCUUUUUCUGGACAACUACUUGUGAGCAAGGAGGCAAAUGUAGACUGUAGAAAUGGUACUAAUGAGGAGGCAUUGAUUCCCCACACAAGUGGCAAUUUAGCAAACUCCACUUCAAAGGUGAUGCUAACCAAGGCAAAUAGACUGAGCCAAAUGAAAACUUCUCUUGCAAAGCAGACCUGCAGUAUAUCUGUAAAAGAUGAACAUUUCUCCUGUGACAGCAAUGUACCAGCCACUGGUUUUGAGCUUUCAGAGAAGGAAAAAGGGUUACUGAGGCAUGAUGAGUUCUCGUCUUCAGAAAACUCCGCUUGUAAAACAGCACUGACUAAGAAUUCAGAAAAAAGUGAAAGAGACAUGCAAAAGGAGAAGGUAAAAAUGGCUGAGAGUGAGUCAGAAGGGUGCAUGAGGCAGCCAGAGAAGCUGGAAAAAGAAAAGAAGGUUCCUGAGCUUGAUUUGUCUAAUAAUUUAUCUGAUGAUUUGAGGAAAGACAGUUGUAAAAAUUCAGAUGCUCAAGAUGUUUUUUCUGCAAAGACUUCUGAAACAGGCAAAAGAGCGUCGAAGGAACAUGGAGUGCAUUUAAAUGGCUCUGAAAGCUUGAAGUUCGUGGCUGUUACUGAGGCACUCCAGGGACCUUUCCUAGAUCAUCAGCAGAAACAACUGUCUCCUGCAGUGAGAUUUGAGAAAGAGGAGUUUAUCCCUACCGUGACAAGUACCAGUGAUUGUGCACCUAAACAGCUAGUUGUGACUGACGUGGAAGCUCCUUCUUCAUGCAAUGAGGAUGCCCCAGUGGAAGUAGAACCUGGAGUAAGCAGGAGUGAAUUAACUAUUUCAGAUUUUUCCAUAGAAAGGGGACACAAAGUUACAGGUGUUUCCCCUUCCUUGAAUCUUGUAGGUGAUGGCUCAUUCUCUGUACAUAUUGCUCAUCCAAGCUAUCAGUCUACUCCAGGGUUACUUCUAAAGAAAAAUGUUAAGGCAGAAGAACUUGGUGUCACUGUGAUUAAAUCAGAUAUUCAGGCCUCUCCUUCAUGCUUAAAUGAAGAAACUUCAGGGAACUCAUCUACCACUACACCUACAUCUGUUGAGAAGCAGCAUUCACUCCAAUAUGCUGAGAAAGAAAACAAUGAACAUUUUGAGUCCUUAAAAUUGAAAUAUCCCUACACUGGAAGAAUUCAGUCUCUCCCAUCACUUAGUUUCAUGGAGAAGGUAGGGGCUUGGAACGUGAGCCAGCCAGAGGAGGUAUCUGAUACAGGGACUUCAUGUGACCCAGGCGGAGUUUCUCCUAGAAGGAAAGUCUACAGUGCAAUUGCCAGUUCUUCAAACAAUAUUUUGUCAAUACAAAAAAGCGGUAGAGACCCCAAAGAUAAUGUUGCUGCUUCCUUUAGAGAGACAGGUUCCCUGGGAAGUUUGUGUUUUCACAAUAAAAACUUACUGCUUGUCCACCCUCUUACUAGAUCUCAGUCUGACAAUGUGGUAAAUGUUUCCAGUAGGAAUGUGUCUUUGGUUGAAGUUUUUCUGCCAGCAAACUCAACAGAGGCAGUGCAGCCUCUAGAAGAAAAAAGUAAUGUUUUAGGGGUGCCUGAAAAUAGUUCAGGAGGCUCCAUGAUACAAAAGUUUACAGCUGAGAUUGUUUCUGGAUCUAGCGGUGA
Molecule: RNA transcript, 2348 nt
Organism: Haliaeetus leucocephalus (bald eagle)
Lineage: Eukaryota; Metazoa; Chordata; Aves; Accipitriformes; Accipitridae
Gene name: Alstrom syndrome protein 1-like
Exons: 5
Source: RefSeq, a predicted model, not a curated record